This 447-nucleotide ribosomal RNA is filed under the name uncultured bacterium. RNAcentral's name for it is "partial 16S ribosomal RNA". It matches the Rfam family "Bacterial small subunit ribosomal RNA", at positions 330 to 792 of the family's 1533-position model. The record is from RNAcentral.
GCCAGACUCCUACGGGAGGCAGCAGUGGGGGAUAUUGCACAAUGGGGGAAACCCUGAUGCAGCGACGCCGCGUGGGCGAAGAAGUAUUUCGGUAUGUAAAGCCCUAUCAGCAGGGAAGAAGAAAUGACGGUACCUGACUAAGAAGCCCCGGCUAACUACGUGCCAGCAGCCGCGGUAAUACGUAGGGGGCAAGCGUUAUCCGGAUUUACUGGGUGUAAAGGGGGCGCAGACGGCAGCGCAAGCCAGGAGUGAAAGCCCGGGGCCCAACCCCGGGACUGCUCUUGGAACUGCGCGGCUGGAGUGCAGGAGGGGCAGGCGGAAUUCCUGGUGUAGCGGUGAAAUGCGUAGAUAUCAGGAGGAACACCGGUGGCGAAGGCGGCCUGCUGGACUGCGACUGACGUUGAGGCCCGAAAGCGUGGGGAGCAAACAGGAUUAGAUACCCGUGUA